Molecule: ribosomal RNA, 773 nt
Filed under: Escherichia coli
Lineage: Bacteria; Pseudomonadati; Pseudomonadota; Gammaproteobacteria; Enterobacterales; Enterobacteriaceae
Description: bacterial LSU rRNA
Rfam family: Bacterial large subunit ribosomal RNA
Source: RNAcentral
GGGUUGUGAGGUUAAGCGACUAAGCGUACACGGUGGAUGCCCUGGCAGUCAGAGGCGAUGAAGGACGUGCUAAUCUGCGAUAAGCGUCGGUAAGGUGAUAUGAACCGUUAUAACCGGCGAUUUCCGAAUGGGGAAACCCAGUGUGAUUCGUCACACUAUCAUUAACUGAAUCCAUAGGUUAAUGAGGCGAACCGGGGGAACUGAAACAUCUAAGUACCCCGAGGAAAAGAAAUCAACCGAGAUUCCCCCAGUAGCGGCGAGCGAACGGGGAGGAGCCCAGAGCCUGAAUCAGUGUGUGUGUUAGUGGAAGCGUCUGGAAAGGCGCGCGAUACAGGGUGACAGCCCCGUACACAAAAAUGCACAUGCUGUGAGCUCGAUGAGUAGGGCGGGACACGUGGUAUCCUGUCUGAAUAUGGGGGGACCAUCCUCCAAGGCUAAAUACUCCUGACUGACCGAUAGUGAACCAGUACCGUGAGGGAAAGGCGAAAAGAACCCCGGCGAGGGGAGUGAAAAAGAACCUGAAACCGUGUACGUACAAGCAGUGGGAGCACGCUUAGGCGUGUGACUGCGUACCUUUUGUAUAAUGGGUCAGCGACUUAUAUUCUGUAGCAAGGUUAACCGAAUAGGGGAGCCGAAGGGAAACCGAGUCUUAACUGGGCGUUAAGUUGCAGGGUAUAGACCCGAAACCCGGUGAUCUAGCCAUGGGCAGGUUGAAGGUUGGGUAACACUAACUGGAGGACCGAACCGACUAAUGUUGAAAAAUUAGCGGAUGA